This 642-nucleotide ribosomal RNA is filed under the name uncultured archaeon. Its description in RNAcentral is "bacterial SSU rRNA". It matches the Rfam family "Archaeal small subunit ribosomal RNA", at positions 342 to 981 of the family's 1478-position model. The record is from RNAcentral.
CGAAAACUCCGCAAUGCGCGAAAGCGUGACGGGGGAACCCCAAGUGCCGUUGGUCUUUGAUCGACGGCUUUUCGGGAGUGUAAGGAGCUCCUGGAAUAAGGGCUGGGUAAGUCGGGUGCCAGCCGCCGCGGUAAUACCCGCAGCCCAAGUGGUGGUCGCGAUUAUUGGGCCUAAAGCACUCGUAGCCGGGCCGGUAAGUCCCUUGUGAAAUCGGGUCGCCUAACGAUUCGGCUUGCAAGGGAUACUGUCGGUCUUGGGACCGAAAGAGGUCGGAGGUACUUCGGGGGUAGCGGUGAAAUGCUGUAAUCCCCGGGGGACCACCAGUGGCGAAGGCGUCCGACCAGGGCGGAUCCGACGGUGAGGGGUGAAGGCUGGGGGAGCGAACGGGAUUAGAUACCCCGGUAGUCCCAGCUGUAAAGGAUGCGGGCUGGGUGUCAGGUGCCCCUCGAGAGCACCUUGUGCCGUAGGGAAGCCGUUAAGCCCGCCGCCUGGGAAGUACGGUCGCAAGGCUGAAACUUAAAGAAAUUGGCGGGGGAGCACUACAAGGGGUGGGACCUGCGGUUUAAUUGGAUUCAACGCCGGACAACUCACCAGGGGCGACAGUUGGUUGAAGGCCAGGUUGACGACCUUGCCGGACUAGCU